Molecule: long non-coding RNA, 482 nt
Organism: Zingiber officinale
Lineage: Eukaryota; Viridiplantae; Streptophyta; Magnoliopsida; Zingiberales; Zingiberaceae
Exons: 3
Source: RefSeq, a predicted model, not a curated record
GCCGCCACCACAGUCGACGCCGAGGAUUUCUUCUCUUCUCCUCUCCCUGCUUUAAUCGGCGCCGCAACAUCCGCCGCCGAGGCCUUAAUUCCUCUGCUGCCGAAGCCCUAGCCUUUGCACAGUGCCACUGCCGCGGCAUCUUCUGCCGUAGUUUCCGGCCGAUUUCCCCACUCACUGGAGUAGGCUACGGUUUCCAAUCAGUGACACUCUUCACCAGAGAGUAACCUGCCAAUGUGGUUAGGAGUAUUUGAGUGGAGAUUUUGACCCCCACCUUGCUGCAAUCACUGGAUCCGGCAGUAACUUCAGCCACAAACCUUGAUCCAGCAGUAUUAGGCGACCCUUUGAUUUACAGCAGCAAUUAAUCUUUGCUAGCAGUAGAGUUUUGUUUUCCGGCAGCAGCUUGGUCUAGCAGCGGUUGAUUUGAGGACUUUGACGCGAGACGAGUAUCUCGGAGUCAGAUCGGACCUUUCUAUUUUCGGAGG